GGGGGGAGGCGGCGGCGGCGGCACCGGGCCGGGCCGGGCCGGGCCGGGCCGGGGCGAUGGCGUCGGGCCGCGCCGCGCAGGUGCUGCUCCGCCGCCCCGCUCCUGGCUAACCAGCACCAGUUCUUCAGUGGCAAGCUUUAUGUCCUUCUCUAGUAGCUAAAGCUGCCAGUUGAAGAACUGUUGAAUGUAGCCACUCUCUUCUCGUCACCGGGACCUUUGGAUCUCAGCCGGAGCCGUGCCCCGAGCGACCGGGAGGAGCCAUUCUGCAGCAGCCUGUGGAUUUGAGGGCUGAGGAUGAGCCUGACCGGGAUGAAGAAAUCUCCUCGCCGCCUCCAGACAGAGCUAUGGCUGGGGGAUUGCCUGGCAGCCCUGCCAGCGGGGCUGUCGAGCGGGGUCGUUGCCCGCCCUGCUGGUAGGGUGGCAUUUAGCUGAAAGACUGAAAGAGGCAUUAAACUUUCUGUUUUGCUCAA
Chroicocephalus ridibundus (black-headed gull) is the source of this 470-nucleotide long non-coding RNA. RefSeq lists it as uncharacterized. The record is from RefSeq and is a predicted model, not a curated record. Lineage: Eukaryota; Metazoa; Chordata; Aves; Charadriiformes; Laridae. The transcript is spliced from 2 exons.